GAUCCUGGGCUCAGGAUGAACGCUAGCUACAGGCUUAACACAUGCAAGUCGAGGGGCAUCAGUUUGGUUUGCUUGCAAACCAAAGCUGGCGACCGGCGCACGGGUGAGUAACACGUAUCCAACCUGCCUCAUACUCGGGGAUAGCCUUUCGAAAGAAAGAUUAAUAUCCGAUAGCAUAUAUUUCCCGCAUGGGUUUUAUAUUAAAGAAAUUCGGUAUGAGAUGGGGAUGCGUUCCAUUAGUUUGUUGGGGGGGG
RNAcentral lists this ribosomal RNA (254 nucleotides) under uncultured bacterium. Its description in RNAcentral is "partial 16S ribosomal RNA". It matches the Rfam family "Bacterial small subunit ribosomal RNA", at positions 15 to 258 of the family's 1533-position model. The record is from RNAcentral.